This 257-nucleotide ribosomal RNA is filed under the name uncultured bacterium. RNAcentral's name for it is "partial 16S ribosomal RNA". It matches the Rfam family "Bacterial small subunit ribosomal RNA", at positions 15 to 263 of the family's 1533-position model. The record is from RNAcentral.
GAUCCUGGCUUAGGAUGAACGCUAGCUACAGGCCUAACACAUGCAAGUCGAGGGGCAUCAGUUUGGUUUGCUUGCAAACCAAAGCUGGCGACCGGCGCACGGGUGAGUAACACGUAUCCAACCUGCCUCAUACUCGGGGAUAGCCUUUCGAAAGAAAGAUUAAUAUCCGAUAGCAUAUAUUUCCCGCAUGGGUUUUAUAUUAAAGAAAUUCGGUAUGAGAUGGGGAUGCGUUCCAUUAGUUUGUUGGGGGGUAACGG